RNAcentral lists this ribosomal RNA (465 nucleotides) under uncultured bacterium. Its description in RNAcentral is "partial 16S ribosomal RNA". It matches the Rfam family "Bacterial small subunit ribosomal RNA", at positions 338 to 795 of the family's 1533-position model. The record is from RNAcentral.
CCUACGGGUGGCAGCAGUGGGGAAUAUUGCGCAAUGGGCGAAAGCCUGACGCAGCGACGCCGCGUGAGGGAUGAAGGUCUUCGGAUCGUAAACCUCUGUCAGCAGGGAAGAACGGUCACUGUGCUAUUCAGCAGUGAAUUGACGGUACCUGCAAAGGAAGCACCGGCUAACUCCGUGCCAGCCGCCGCGUGAAGACGGAGGGUGCGAGCGUUAAUCGGAAUUACUGGGUGUAAAGCGCUCGUAGGCGGUAUGUCAAGUCAAGGGUGAAAUCCCCGCGCUCAACGUGGGAACUGCCUUUGAAACUGGCAAACUGGAGUGUGUGAGAGGAUAGUGGAAUUCCAGGUGUAGGAGUGAAAGCCGUAGAUAUCUGGAGGAACAUCAGUGGCGAAGGCGACUAUCUGGCACAUAACUGACGCUGAGGAGCGAAAGCGUGGGUAGCAAACAGGAUUAGAUACCCGGGUAGUC